This 247-nucleotide ribosomal RNA is filed under the name uncultured bacterium. RNAcentral's name for it is "partial 16S ribosomal RNA". It matches the Rfam family "Bacterial small subunit ribosomal RNA", at positions 109 to 354 of the family's 1533-position model. The record is from RNAcentral.
AGUAACGCGUGGGCAACCUGCCCCCAUAGAGGGGGACGAACAGCUGGAAACGGCUGCUAAUACCGCAUAACAAGGAGAGAGCGCAUGUUCUUUUCUUCAAAGAUUUAUCGCUAUGGGAUGGACCCGCGUCUGAUUAGCUGGUUGGUGAGGUAACGGCUCACCAAGGCGACGAUCAGUAGCCGGCUUGAGAGAGUGGACGGCCACAUUGGGACUGAGACACGGCCCAGACUCCUACGGGAGGCAGCAG